UCCCUAGUGGUCCAGUGGUUUAGACUCUGCACUUCCAAUGCAGUGCACAUAGGUUCGAUCCCUGGUUGGGAAA
RNAcentral lists this transfer RNA (73 nucleotides) under Capra hircus (goat). It matches the Rfam family "tRNA". From Rfam's summary of the family: Transfer RNA (tRNA) molecules are approximately 80 nucleotides in length. RNAcentral also lists the same sequence under 1 other name. The record is from Rfam by way of RNAcentral. Lineage: Eukaryota; Metazoa; Chordata; Mammalia; Artiodactyla; Bovidae.